RNAcentral lists this unclassified non-coding RNA (203 nucleotides) under Hevea brasiliensis (rubber tree). Lineage: Eukaryota; Viridiplantae; Streptophyta; Magnoliopsida; Malpighiales; Euphorbiaceae. The record is from RNAcentral.
GGCUGUUAGAGAGACAGGGUCAGGAACAGAAAGUGUCCUGGUUUGCUCCUUAUCCAAACAUAAUAAAACGCAGAAAAUGUGUAGUAGAAUUUAGCGCCAAAUCCCAACAUCAUUGUGAGGGACCCAAACCUAAAAUGUCGCCCAGAACAGCACCCCAAAAUGCACAAAAGCAAUGUUGCGUAGCACAAGCCCUCCGUCUCCUC